Molecule: ribosomal RNA, 331 nt
Filed under: uncultured eukaryote
Lineage: Eukaryota
Description: partial 18S ribosomal RNA
Rfam family: Eukaryotic small subunit ribosomal RNA
Source: RNAcentral
CCCUUAGAUGUUCUGGGCCGCACGCGCGCUACACUGACGAAGUCAGCGAGCAUGUCCUACGCCGACAGGUGCGGGGAAUCUUGUCAAACUUCGUCGUGAUGGGGAUUGAUUUUUGAAAUUCUUGAUCAUAAACGAGGAAUUCCUAGUAAGCGCAAGUCAGCAGCUUGCGUUGAUUACGUCCCUGCCCUUUGUACACACCGCCCGUCGCUACUACCGAUUGAAUGGUUUAGUGAGAUCUUCGGAUUGGCGCCACUGCAGCUCAGCAAUGGGCUUGGUGGAUGCCGAAAAGUUGAUCGAACUUGAUCAUUUAGAGGAAGUAAAAGUCGUAACA